GGGAAGAGGCGGAUCUGCUGCUCCAGUGCCUCUCAACUAGCUCAGGAGGAGAGAGGCAGCCUUUCCCAGCAGUUCCUCCCGGGCACGGAAUUAUUUAGUUCAGCAUUUAUAAAUCCCGCCCUGUGUCCCAUGCCCUCUACAUCUAGAUGCGGGGUAGUUUCCUCCUGUUAAGUCUCAAGAUUUACCACAACCACAGGAUGGUGAGCUGUGGAUGAGAUAGAGCUCCCUGAAUACCUGGAAACUGUUCAGCCAUGGAGCUCCCAAGGCCAUGACAGUAAAAUACCGGUCAAGCUUCUGGGAAAGACGCAGCAUCGGGGCCAGGUGUCAGCUGUGAAGCAAAGAGGAGACUGGAGCGAUGGCUACUCCCAGCCAUGGCGUCCUCUUCUCACCCAACUAGCAGAGCUCAGGCACACGGAGCUGGAACUCUGUGCCGACUCUUCAAACCCUGAUCACGAGAGUACCCAGUGGCCUCCUCCAACGCCCUUAGACAGGCCACACAGGGAGGGAAGGAACUCCAAGGUGGAGGGGCUUCUGAAACCAUCAGGGAAGGGGGCGGGGGUUUGCAUCAGGCACUCUCCCCGGAGACUCUGCACUCAGGGGGCUGCCGGAGACUGAGCUCCCAGGCAGGUCAGUGCUCGCCUCCAGGCCAGCCUGCUCUCUGGCAGGGCAGCUGGGAGAGCAGCGAGGCCGGGCUGGACGGGAGGAGCCGCAGCACACACACUCACAGGGCUUCGGCAUCAGUGCCCAUUAAGAAGGGGAGGUGCUUCUCUCCAUCUUAUUAGUUUCAUAGUAUUUGAGGCUAAACUACCCUUUGCCGACGCUUUGGCAACCUUUGCAAUAUAUGUUCUCAACUAUUGAACAUACGACACCCAGUCACCAAGCGAGCGUUAUGCAGAGAGACAUACUCAACUGACAAACAUUCUAAAGUGAAAAACAAAACAAAACAAUGACCAAAAGCCUUCCCAUUAUCUUAUUUUCCUAGUUGAUUUUUUGUUAACCCCUAAGGUGCUGGGGAGCCCGCCUGUCUUUCGCCAAAAGUGCCGGGAGCGCUAUCAAAGCUUCGAAAUGGCGUCCAGUUCUAAGUCUGCUUUCAUAAGUGACGAUGAUAUUGCUAAAUGUGUCAAUGUAGUAAAGGUUUCCUUAAGUUUUUGAAUAUGUAACUUCAUGUACUUGCGAUUCAUAAUUUUUUUCCUAAACUGCUGUAAAAUCAGCAAAAAUGCCUUGGCAAUUUUAGCAUAGUUCCUAGGAUACUGGUUGGCACUCAAAGGGUUAAUAUGAAAUAGGUUGUACAUGUGACUUAGUUAAAAUCAUUUCGUAUUAUUAGGAGUGUCUUUUAGGUGUAUGACUUUCAUGCUUAAAACCCAUUUUUUAUUCAAAUGUCUUACACUCUAAGAAAGAAGUUCUAUUACUAUUCCCCAUGUUAUGAUGGGAAAAAAAAGACACAGAGAAAUUAUGCAACUUAACAAUAUCCCAUAGCAUCACAGUCUUCAGAAUAGAAAAUAAUAACAAUGGAUGAUUAUCUCUGCAAAUCAAACUCUAAAAUUCUAAAAAAUAUAGAACAGGAUUCUAAAGAGACUCAUUUCUCUAAAUAGGAAAACAAAAUCCCAUACGUAAAUUAUCAUAUCACACACAUGAUUAACAACCUCAUACUAAUUUUUAAAAACUACUUGAUUUCCUUUAUCAUAACCAAUACGAUACAAUUAAUAUGUAAUUUAGAUAAAAAUAACUUUGAGAAAUAGUAUAUUUGACUGGGCAGUAAUGAAACCAUGGAAAAGAUAACUGAUUAUUGAAAAAUUAUCAAAUGUUAAUCCUUACAAAUAAUUAUUACAAGCCAAUCUUGUGAAUUCAAGAUAGGCAUAUGACUAACAGCCACAAAUGGUAGGAAUGCACUUAAAAUGUCCGUAUAGUUAGCAUAUAUAGAAAAUUUAUUAGCUAAAAUCGGCUGUGAAACCUGGCCUGCAGUUUGGUUGACUAUUAAAUUUAACUUUGUCUCAUUAUUUCAAAAUUUAAAUAGCUUUCUCUACAUUAUUAAGAACUGUAAUCUUAAAAUAGUAAAAAAUAACUUCACAAACACAUAGCUAUAGCAAGCCAUAUUGCCCAAAAAGCUAUACAAUAUCUGUUCCUAUAGAACUUUCCCAAUCCUUGUAUUUCAGAGCUUAUUUGAAAAACCAUCGCUAUUUUGCAUUUAUAACUGGUAUCCUUGCACUAAAGAUAUGAACUGUAAAUAUCUUUUUAUAUACAAAAUGGCCACAUCCCAAUUUUAAUUACACAAUUAAUUUUGUUAACAUAGAAAGUUGUAUCUAAUAAAAAGAAAUCACACAGUUCUAUAAUUUCAAAGGCAACAUUAAAGGUUCUUUGUUGAAGAGAUAAUGAAGUAAUCGCCAAGGUGUUUGAAACAAUAAAGUCAAUAUUACAUUGAUUUCAAGGAAAACUAAGAAUGCAUGCCUUUACAUAAAACAGAAACAGGAUAACUCACUUUACAAGAGAAUAAAAAAGAGAUAGCUUUUAAAAAUAUAUUAAAUUCUCCAACCCAAGUAAGAAUUAAAAAAAAAAAAAAAAAAAGAGGAGAGAAAGAGAGAGAAGGGAAAGA
Molecule: long non-coding RNA, 2590 nt
Organism: Myotis myotis
Lineage: Eukaryota; Metazoa; Chordata; Mammalia; Chiroptera; Vespertilionidae
Exons: 3
Source: RefSeq, a predicted model, not a curated record